CAGCAGCCGCGGUAAUACAGAGGGUGCGAGCGUUAAUCGGAUUUACUGGGCGUAAAGCGUGCGUAGGCGGCUUUUUAAGUCGGAUGUGAAAUCCCUGAGCUUAACUUAGGAAUUGCAUUCGAUACUGGGAAGCUAGAGUAUGGGAGAGGAUGGUAGAAUUCCAGGUGUAGCGGUGAAAUGCGUAGAGAUCUGGAGGAAUACCGAUGGCGAAGGCAGCCAUCUGGCCUAAUACUGACGCUGAGGUACGAAAGCAUGGGGAGCAAACAGGAUUAGAUACCCCCGUAGUCCCUGUCUCUUAUAG
This 301-nucleotide ribosomal RNA is filed under the name uncultured bacterium. RNAcentral's name for it is "partial 16S ribosomal RNA". It matches the Rfam family "Bacterial small subunit ribosomal RNA", at positions 509 to 809 of the family's 1533-position model. The record is from RNAcentral.